This 272-nucleotide ribosomal RNA is filed under the name Escherichia coli. Its description in RNAcentral is "partial 16S ribosomal RNA". It matches the Rfam family "Bacterial small subunit ribosomal RNA", at positions 1 to 269 of the family's 1533-position model. The record is from RNAcentral. Lineage: Bacteria; Pseudomonadati; Pseudomonadota; Gammaproteobacteria; Enterobacterales; Enterobacteriaceae.
AAAUUGAAGAGUUUGAUCAUGGCUCAGAUUGAACGCUGGCGGCAGGCCUAACACAUGCAAGUCGAACGGUAACAGGAAGAAGCUUGCUUCUUUGCUGACGAGUGGCGGACGGGUGAGUAAUGUCUGGGAAACUGCCUGAUGGAGGGGGAUAACUACUGGAAACGGUAGCUAAUACCGCAUAACGUCGCAAGACCAAAGAGGGGGACCUUCGGGCCUCUUGCCAUCGGAUGUGCCCAGAUGGGAUUAGCUAGUAGGUGGGGUAACGGCUUACC